AUCGCCCGGGAACUACGAGCAAAGCUUAAAACCCAAAGGACUUGACGGUACCCCACAUCCACCUAGAGGAGCCUGUCCUAUAAUCGAUAACCCCCGCUUAACCUCACCAUUUUUAGCCUAUCAGCCUGUAUACCUCCGUCGCCAGCUUACCACGUGAGCGACCCUCAGUGAGCUUAAUGUUUAUACACCAACACGUCAGGUCAAGGUGCAGCAGAUAAAAUGGGAAGAGAUGGGCUACACUCUCUAUUCUAGAAAAUACGGAAGACUAUUUAUGAAACCUAGUCAGAAGGCGGAUUUAGUAGUAAAAAGAGACAAGAGUGCUCUUUUUAACAUGGCACUGGGGUGUGUACACACCGCCCGUCACCCUCUUCAAAGCUAAUAUAAAGUCCCUAACACACCUAAGCACUACAGAAGAGGCAAGUCGUAACAUGGUAAGUAUACCGGAAGGUGUGCUUGGAAA
RNAcentral lists this ribosomal RNA (460 nucleotides) under Osteocephalus sp. (B) VG-2010. RNAcentral's name for it is "partial 12S ribosomal RNA". It matches the Rfam family "Bacterial small subunit ribosomal RNA", at positions 868 to 1522 of the family's 1533-position model. The record is from RNAcentral. Lineage: Eukaryota; Metazoa; Chordata; Amphibia; Anura; Hylidae.